RNAcentral lists this ribosomal RNA (465 nucleotides) under Vreelandella stevensii. RNAcentral describes it as "partial 16S ribosomal RNA". It matches the Rfam family "Bacterial small subunit ribosomal RNA", at positions 338 to 795 of the family's 1533-position model. The record is from RNAcentral. Lineage: Bacteria; Pseudomonadati; Pseudomonadota; Gammaproteobacteria; Oceanospirillales; Halomonadaceae.
CCUACGGGCGGCUGCAGUGGGGAAUAUUGGACAAUGGGGGGAACCCUGAUCCAGCCAUGCCGCGUGUGUGAAGAAGGCCCUCGGGUUGUAAAGCACUUUCAGUGAGGAAGAAUGCCUGGUGGUUAAUACCCAUCAGGAAAGACAUCACUCACAGAAGAAGCACCGGCUAACUCCGUGCCAGCAGCCGCGGUAAUACGGAGGGUGCGAGCGUUAAUCGGAAUUACUGGGCGUAAAGCGCGCGUAGGUGGCUUGAUAAGCCGGUUGUGAAAGCCCCGGGCUCAACCUGGGAACGGCAUCCGGAACUGUCAAGCUAGAGUGCAGGAGAGGAAGGUAGAAUUCCCGGUGUAGCGGUGAAAUGCGUAGAGAUCGGGAGGAAUACCAGUGGCGAAGGCGGCCUUCUGGACUGACACUGACACUGAGGUGCGAAAGCGUGGGUAGCAAACAGGAUUAGAUACCCGAGUAGUC